RNAcentral lists this ribosomal RNA (305 nucleotides) under uncultured bacterium. RNAcentral's name for it is "partial 16S ribosomal RNA". It matches the Rfam family "Bacterial small subunit ribosomal RNA", at positions 508 to 809 of the family's 1533-position model. The record is from RNAcentral.
ACAGCAGCCGCCGCGGGAAUACGUAGGUCCCGAGCGUUGUCCGGAUUUAUUGGGCGUAAAGCGAGCGCAGGCGGUUAGAUAAGUCUGAAGUUAAAGGCUGUGGCUUAACCAUAGUACGCUUUGGAAACUGUUUAACUUGAGUGCAAGAGGGGAGAGUGGAAUUCCAUGUGUAGCGGUGAAAUGCGUAGAUAUAUGGAGGAACACCGGUGGCGAAAGCGGCUCUCUGGCUUGUAACUGACGCUGAGGCGCGAAAGCCAGGGGAGCGAACGGGAUUAGAUACCCGCGUAGUCCCUGUCUCUUAUACA